GGAGAAUUGCUUGAGCCUGGGAGGUGGAGGUUGCAGUGAGCUGAGAUCACGCCACAGGACUCCAGCCUGGGCGACAGAG
Molecule: microRNA precursor, 79 nt
Filed under: Aotus nancymaae (Ma's night monkey)
Lineage: Eukaryota; Metazoa; Chordata; Mammalia; Primates; Aotidae
Description: miRNA (ENSANAG00000009326.1)
Source: RNAcentral